This 467-nucleotide ribosomal RNA is filed under the name uncultured bacterium. RNAcentral describes it as "partial 16S ribosomal RNA". It matches the Rfam family "Bacterial small subunit ribosomal RNA", at positions 28 to 506 of the family's 1533-position model. The record is from RNAcentral.
GACGAACGCUGGCGGCGUGCUUAACACAUGCAAGUCGAACGGAAAGGCCCUGCUUUUGUGGGGUGCUCGAGUGGCGAACGGGUGAGUAACACGUGAGUAACCUGCCCUUGACUUUGGGAUAACUUCAGGAAACUGGGGCUAAUACCGGAUAGGAUCUCCUGCUGCAUGGUGGGGGUUGGAAAGUUUCGGCGGUUGGGGAUGGACUCGCGGCUUAUCAGCUUGUUGGUGGGGUAGUGGCUUACCAAGGCUUUGACGGGUAGCCGGCCUGAGAGGGUGACCGGCCACAUUGGGACUGAGAUACGGCCCAGACGCAUACGGGAGGCAGCAGUGGGGAAUAUUGCACAAUGGGCGGAAGCCUGAUGCAGCAACGCCGCGUGCGGGAUGACGGCCUUCGGGUUGUAAACCGCUUUCGCCUGUGACGAAGCGUGAGUGACGGUAAUGGGUAAAGAAGCACCGGCUAACUACGU